GACGAACGCUGGCGGCGUGCUUAACACAUGCAAGUCGAGCGGUAAGGCCCUUUCGGGGGUACACGAGCGGCGAACGGGUGAGUAACACGUGGGUGACCUGCCCUCAGCUCUGGGAUAAGCCUGGGAAACCGGGUCUAAUACCGGAUAUGACUCCAUGACGCAUGUUGUGGGGUGGAAAGCCUUGUGCGGCUGAGGAUGGGCCCGCGGCCUAUCAGCUUGUUGGUGGGGUGAUGGCCACCAAGGCGACGACGGGUAGCCGGCCUGAGAGGGCGACCGGCCACACUGGGACUGAGACACGGCCCAGACUCCUACGGGAGGCAGCAGUGGGGAAUCUUGCGCAAUGGGCGGAAAGCCUGACGCAGCGACGCCGCGUGAGGGAUGACGGCCU
This 388-nucleotide ribosomal RNA is filed under the name uncultured bacterium. RNAcentral describes it as "bacterial SSU rRNA". It matches the Rfam family "Bacterial small subunit ribosomal RNA", at positions 28 to 417 of the family's 1533-position model. The record is from RNAcentral.